AACUUUCAACAACGGAUCUCUUGGCUCCUGCAUCGAUGAAGAACGCAGCGAAAUGCGAUAAUUAAUGUGAAUUGCAGAAUUCAGUGAAUCAUCGAGUCUUUGAACGCA
This 108-nucleotide ribosomal RNA is filed under the name uncultured fungus. RNAcentral's name for it is "5.8S ribosomal RNA". It matches the Rfam family "5.8S ribosomal RNA", at positions 1 to 108 of the family's 154-position model. Rfam says of the family: 5.8S ribosomal RNA (5.8S rRNA) is a component of the large subunit of the eukaryotic ribosome. The record is from RNAcentral. Lineage: Eukaryota; Fungi.